Molecule: ribosomal RNA, 285 nt
Filed under: Triticum aestivum (bread wheat)
Lineage: Eukaryota; Viridiplantae; Streptophyta; Magnoliopsida; Poales; Poaceae
Description: partial small subunit ribosomal RNA
Source: RNAcentral
AUGUGUGUCCCGGAAGAUCAAGGAGGUAUAGGAUUUCCAGAUAUACACUGUUUCAAUCUAGCUUUAUUAGCCAAACAACCGUGACGGCUACUUGAUAAUCCAAAUUCUUUAUGUGCUACUAUCUUGAGAGCUAAAUAUUAUUUAGAGGCUGAUUUAAUGUGUAAAUAUGAAAAUGAUUCGUCUUUUACUUGGCAAAGCAUCAUGGCGGGAGUAAACUCUCUUAAAAAUGGUUAUAUCUGGAGAGUUGAAGUGGACGUAAUAUUGAUAUUUGGAGAGAUGCAUUGA